Coturnix japonica (Japanese quail) is the source of this 4584-nucleotide long non-coding RNA. NCBI's taxonomy places the organism in Eukaryota, Metazoa, Chordata, Aves, Galliformes, Phasianidae. The record is from Ensembl.
AUGGGAAGCGGCCAAAGCCCAAGAGCUGGGGGGGGGGGGGUUGGGGGGGGGGGGGGGGGGGGUGGGGGUCGCCUCCCCCCUCCCCCACUUUCUCUUCCUCCCGACGCUUCAAACAAGCCGCCUUCGGGUUCAGGUUGCGCUCUGCAAAGCAAACGGGAGAUGCAUGAGAUGAUCGUGUUGCAAAACCGAUUGCAACCCCAUGCACUUUUGCAUUGCAAGACCCCUUUGCAUUGCAACCCCAAAGCCUUUUGCAUUGCAUUGCAAGACCCAAGUGCAUUGCAUUGCAAGACCCCUUUGCAUUGCAACCCCGAACACUUUUGCAUUGCAAGACCUAAUUGCAUUGCAACCCCAAAGCCUUUUGCAUUGCAUUGCAAGACCCAUCUGUAUUGCAUUGCAAUCACCUCCCCUUUUGCAUUGCAAGACCCAAUUGAAUUGCAUUGCAAGACCCCUUUGCAUUGCAACCCACCUUUGCAUUGCAAUCCCCUCCCCUUUUGCAUUGCACAACCCCUUUGCAUUGCAUUGCAAGAGCCAAUUGCAUUGCAAUGCAAUCCUUUGUUGCAUUGCAUUGCAACCCCCUCCCCCAUUGCAUUGCAAGACCCUUUUGCAUUGCAUUGCAAGACCCCUUUGCAUUGCAAGACCCAAUUGCAUUGCAUUGCAACCCACCUUUGCAUUGCAAGACCUUCCCCUUUUGCAUUGCAACCUGAAUUUGCAUUGCAACCCCAUGCACUUUUGCAUUGCAAUCUUCAAUUGCAUUGCAUUGCAACCCCCAGUUGCAUUGCAUUGCAUUGCAAGACCCAAUUGCAUUGCAUUGCAAGACCUACUUGCAUUGCAACCCCAAAGACUUUUGCAUUGCAACCCCCAAUUGCAUUGCAAUCCUUUGUUGCAUUGCAUUGCAAGACCCAAAUGCAUUGCAACCCCAAACCCUUUUGCAUUGCAACCCCAUGCACUUUUGCAUUGCAAUCCUCAAUUGCAUUGCAACCCCAUGCACUUUUGCAUUGCAAGACCCUUUUGCAUUGCAUUGCAACCCACCUUUGCAUUGCAACCUACCUUUGCAUUGCAACCCCAUGCACUUUUGCAUUGCAAGACCCAAUUGCAUUGCAACCCCAUGCACUUUUGCAUUGCAUUGCAAGACCCCUUUGCAUUGCAUUGCAAGCCAUCUUUGCAUUGCAAGACCCCUUUGCAUUGCAUUGCAAGCCAUCUUUGCAUUGCAAGCCCCUCCCCUAUUGCAUUGCAAGACUCAAUUGCAUUGCAAUGCAAUCCUUUGUUGCAUUGUACUGCGAGACCCCUUUGCAUUGCAAUCCGAAUUUGCAUUGCAAUCCCUUCCCCUUUUGCAUUGCAAGACCUAAUUGCAUUGCAACCCCAAACCCUUUUGCAUUGCAACCCGAAUUUACAUUGCAACCCCAUGCACUUUUGCAUUGCAACCCUCAAUUGCAUUGCAACCCUCAAUUGCAUUGCAACCCCAAACCCUUUUGCAUUGCAUUGCAAGACCCAAUUGCAUUGCAUUGCAAGCCAUCUUUGCAUUGCAACCCCCUCCCCUUUUGCAUUGCAACCCCAUCCACUUUUGCAUUGCAAUCCUCAAUUGCAUUGCAUUGCAUGACCCCUUUGCAGUGCAGUGCAACCCACCUUUGCAUUGCAACCCCCUCCCCUUUUGCAUUGCAUUGCAAGACCCCUUUGCAUUGCAUUGCAAGACCCAAUUGCAUUGCAACCCCAAAGACUUUUGCAUUGCAUUGCAAGACACAAUUGCAUUGCAAAACCCAAUUGCAUUGCAUUGCAACCCCAAACACUUUUGCAUUGCAAUCCUUUGUUGCAUUGCAACCUGCCCCCCUUUUGCAUUGCAAGCUCCAAUUGCAUUGCAUUGCAAUCACCUCCCCUUUUGCAUUGCACAACCCCUUUGCAUUGCAUUGCAAUCCAAAUUUGCAUUGCAACCCCAUGCACUUUUGCAUUGCAAGAACCCUUUGCAUUGCAUUGCAACCCCCAAUUGCAUUGCAUUGCAAGACCCAAUUGCAUUGCAACCCUAAUAUGCUUUGCAUUGCAAGACCCCUUUGCAUUGCAUUGCAAGACCCAAAUGCAUUGCAACCCCAAACCCUUUUGCAUUGCAACCCCCUUCCCUUUUGCAUUGCAAGACCCUUAUGCAUUGCAUUGCAAUCCCCUCCCCUUUUGCAUUGCAAUCCUUCAUUGCAUUGCAACCCCCAACUGCAAUGCAUUGCACCCCACCUUUGCAUUUCAAGACCCCUUUGCAUUGCAAUCGUCAAUUGCAUUGCAACAAGCCUUUGCAUUGCAAGAGCCAAUUGCAUUGCAUUGCAAUCCGAAUUUGCAUUGCAACCCCAUGCACUUUUGCAUUGCAAGACCCAAAUGCAUUGCAAUCCCCUCCCCUAUUGCAUUGCAAGACCCAAAUGCAUUGCAACCCCAUGCACUUUUGCAUUGCAUUGCAAGACCCAAUUGCAUUGCAUUGCAAGCCAUCUUUGCAUUGCAACCCCAUGCACUUUUGCAUUGCAAGAACCCUUUGUAUUGCAUUGCAAGACACAAUUGCAUUGCAAAACCCAAUUGCAUUGCAUUGCAUUGCAAGACCCAAUUGCAUUGCAAGACCCCUUUGCAUUGUAUUGCAAGACCCCUUUGCAUUGCAACCCCAAACCCUUUUGCAUUGCAAACCCCAUCCACUUUUGCAUUGCAAGACCCAUUGCUUCAACCCCAAACCCUUUUGCAUUGCAAUACUUCGUUGCAUUGCAUUGCAUUGCAACCACCAAUUGCAUUGCAAGACCCAAUUGCAUUGCAUUGCAAGACCCCAUUGCAUUGCAACCCCCUCCCCUUUUGCAUUGCAACCCCCUCCCCUUUUUCAUUGCAACCCACCUUUGCAUCGCAAUCCCCCCCCUUUUGCAUUGCAACCCGAAUUUGCAUUGCAACCCCAUGCACUUUUGCAAUGCAAGACCCCUUUGCAUUGCAACCCCCGAUUGCAUUGCAACCCUCUUUUGCAUUGCAAUCCUUCAUUGCAUUGCAGUCCUCAAUUGCAUUGCAAGACCCCUUUGCAUUGCACACCCAUUGAUUGGCAAGACCAAUUGGGCAACCAAACCCUUUUGCAUUGCAUUGCAAUCCUUUGUUGCAUUGCAAUCCUUUGUUGCAUUGCAACAGGCCUUUGCAUUGCAAGCUCCAAUUGCAUUGCAAAACCCAAUUGCAUUUGCAUUGGCAUUGCAUAGACCCAUGUGCAUUGCAAGACGCCCUUUUGCAUUGUAUUGCAAGACCCCUUGCAUUCAACGCCCAAACCCUUUUGCAUUGCAACCCCAUCCACUUUUGCAUUGCAACCCCCAAUUGCACUGCAUUGCAUUUCAAUCCUUUGUUGUAUUGCAUUGCAAGACCCCAUUGCAUUGCAUUGCAACCCACCUUUGCAUUGCAACCCCCUCCCCUUUUGCAUUGCAAGACCCAAUGGCAUUGCAACCCCAUGCACUUUUGCAUUGCAUUGCAAGACCCAAUUGCAUUGCAUUGCAAGCCAUCUUUGCAUUGCAACACCAAACCCUUUUGCAUUGCAAGACCCCAUUGCAUUGCAUUGCAAUCCCCUCCCCUUUUGCAUUGCAACCCGAAUUUGCAUUGCAACCCCGUCCCCUAUUGCAUUGCAAGACCCAAUUGCAUUGCAACCCCAAAGACUUUUGCAUUGUAUUGCAACCCCAAACCCUUUUGCAUUGCAACCCGAAUUUGCAUUGCAACCCCAUGCACUUUUGCAUUGCAAACCCCAAUUGCAUUGCAAUCCUUUGUUGCAUUGCAAGACCCCUUUGCAUUGCAAGACCCAAUUGCAUUGCAACCCCAAACCCUUUUGCAUUGCAUUGCAUUGCAACCCACUUUUGCAUUGCAACCCCCUUUUGCAUUGCAACCUGCCCCGCUUUUGCAUUGCAUUGCAAGACCCUGUUGCAUUGCAAGACCCAAUUGCAUUGCAUUGCAAGACCCUUUUGCAUUGCAACCCCAAACCCUUUUGCAUUGCAACCCCAUGCACUUUUGCAUUGCAAGACCCAAUUGCAUUGCAAGACCCAAUUGCAUUGCAUUGCAAUCCUUCAUUGCAUUGCAAUCCUCCAUUGCUUUGCAACCCCAAACCCUUUUGCAUUGCAAGACCCAAUUGCAUUGCAUUGCAAAAUCCAAUUGCAUUGCAUUGCAAGACCCUUUUGCAUUGCAACCUGCCCCCCUUUUGCAUUGCAUUGUAAUCCUCCAUUGCAUUGCAACCCCAUAAACUUUUGCAUUGCAAGACCCCUUUGCAUUGCAACAGGCCUUUGCAUUGCAAGACCCAAUUGCAUUGCAUUGCAUUGCAAAACCCUUUUGCAUUGCAUUGCAACCCCCUUUUGCAUUGCAACCUCCAUUUGCAUUGCAUUGCAUUGCAUUGCAAACCCCCUCACCUCUGACUUGCUGCUCCAAGCUGAGGAUGACGGCCACGGCCUGAUGCAGGAUGAGCAGCUUGGUUUGCGGUUUGUCGCUCUUCAGAUGCAGCUGCACCAUCCUGCCCAGCUCCUUGAAGGCCUCGUUGAUGUCCCUCACUCUCAGUCUCUCUCUUGCAUUGUUGGCCAUGCGUCGCUCCUUUUCCCUCUCUGCUUUUUGCUCCGGGGUUAA